Coregonus clupeaformis (lake whitefish) is the source of this 1307-nucleotide long non-coding RNA. RefSeq lists it as uncharacterized. The record is from RefSeq and is a predicted model, not a curated record. The transcript has 8 exons. NCBI's taxonomy places the organism in Eukaryota, Metazoa, Chordata, Actinopteri, Salmoniformes, Salmonidae.
UUUCAAUCUGCGUGUCCUGAUCGCAUCUGGUGUGGAUGGACAAAAUCAACAUGCCCGCGAUGGCGCACGCGGACGGACGCGGGCGCGGGUCUAGUCAGCAUGAGGAAGAAAGCAGGCAUGUCGGAGGGAGGUCUGAAAGGCUGAGGAAGAAAGCAGAGCGCGGAGCGACUGCGUGCAUGAGAAGUAGCUACACACCUGUAACUGUAAGCCAUGGACGAAGACGCAGCAACUUGGAGUGGGAAUGUGAGGGCUCUGUCAUUAGUCGCAGUGUAUUUGCUGGCUUGCAAGACUGAGAAGACCCCCAAAACAUCAGAUGAGCUUGCCCUAAUGCAGGCAGGGAUAAGGAAAAGAUAUCAAGCCUGUUAGAGAAGUACCCCAGAAUAGCCUCGAUCUCAGGCGGUUGGUUGUUCUACAAGUCAUCAGGGGGACCCGGCCAAAGACACCUUGCCCUUGUCCCACCGGAAUCCGAUGGCUACUCUGGGAGACUCCUGCGAUCGGCCUCAGGUGGUGGAAAGACCAUUCUCUACAUUGCACUGAUUCAAGAAGAAAUCGACACAAGUCCUCUCCCACCAGAUGCACCUGAGUUUGCUAGAAUGCCCGAGGCAAAUUGCCACAAGUGUGGUAAACUAAUGCCUGUACAGCUGCUGCCAGUCCUGUGGGUCUGCAGGUCACAGUACGGAGCCAGACAAGGAUCUCAGCAUUGCUGGAGUGGCAGAGAUGGAAUCUGAUGUAAUGGAUUGUAGAGUGGUACAGGCAUCGUGUCCGAUCUGUCUGAAAAUGUAUCCCAUCGCUAACCUUGAGGUUCAUGCCAGUUUUUGUGAGAGAACCGAAGUGCAAGAUGGACCCCAUGUGCAAGUGAUAUCAUGGUAAGAUAAUAAGAAAGCCAUAAAGGGACAAACAAGAAUUUUGAGACAUUUCCAGGAUGCAAUGGCUAGAAUGGGCACUCACCCACCAGAGAUGUAAUUACGGGAGAUAUUACCCUAAGUGCCAGAAGGUAUAUUGCACAGGAGGUGGGGAAUAUCUCCCAAUCACUAGAGGGUGAGUGGUGCAUUUGUCAUCUAUUACAACACACUGUCUGGCUUUUGCGAGGUUGUAAGCAGGAUAGUUUUAAUUUCAGUGUCGGUGACGUGUUGAGCUGCAUCAGUCAGCGAGUCAGUACAGACGGAGAGUUCCGGAUCAGCGUCAGCAGAGAGAACCUCCUUCAACGAGGGCUGAGUCAAUGGAAGAGGCAGAAAAAAAGUUUACGAGCUAGCAACUUGAAAGUCACCUACCUGACAGGACCUGGUGUAGACACCGGGGCUCUCAAA